RNAcentral lists this ribosomal RNA (251 nucleotides) under uncultured prokaryote. RNAcentral's name for it is "partial 16S rRNA". It matches the Rfam family "Bacterial small subunit ribosomal RNA", at positions 525 to 775 of the family's 1533-position model. The record is from RNAcentral.
ACGGGGGGUGCAAGCGUUGUUCGGAAUCAUUGGGCGUAAAGCGCGCGCAGGCGGCUCGGUAAGUGAGAUGUGAAAUCCCUGAGCUUAACCCAGGUAGUGCAUUUGAUACUGCCUCGCUAGAGUACGGGAGAGGAAAGUGGAAUUCCUGGUGUAGAGGUGAAAUGCGUAGAUAUCAGGAGGAACACCGGUGGCGAAGGCGGCUUUCUGGGCCGAUACUGACGCUCAGGCGCGAAAGUGUGGGGAGCAAACAG